Molecule: non-coding RNA, 388 nt
Organism: Drosophila melanogaster (fruit fly)
Lineage: Eukaryota; Metazoa; Arthropoda; Insecta; Diptera; Drosophilidae
Source: Ensembl
CAUCGACAAACUUUCGUUUUGUGCGCUUAAAAUGUAAGAAAAUUUAUAAACAAAAGCAGCGGUUCUUCAGCUCCUCCAGCACAGUCUGCAAGUAGAUGUACUCCUCGGGGAGUGGUGGCUUCUCCUUGGGCGGCGCCGGUUGGCGCUGUUGCUGGAUGGGCGCUGGCUGCUCGGUAUAGCCAAUGGUUUGCUGUUGUCCCUGCCAGUUUGGCUGCUGAAUCCCAGGGGCUGGCUGCUGAGGCUGGAGAUAUGAUUGCUGAUGCUGCUGCUGCUGCUGGGGAUUGUUGUUGAAGGCAGCCGGGUUGUAGUACGUAUUGGGCACUCCUCCAAGUGGUGCUGCGUGCUGGAGAAAAUAAAUACAUUUUUGAUCUACUUCCUGACCAAUAAU